CGCGGCCUAUCAGCUUGUUGGUGGGGUAGUGGCCUACCAAGGCGACGACGGGUAGCCGGCCUGAGAGGGCGACCGGCCACACUGGGACUGAGACACGGCCCAGACUCCUACGGGGGGCAGCAGUGGGGAAUAUUGCGCAAUGGGCGAAAGCCUGACGCAGCGACGCCGCGUGAGGGAUGACGGCCUUCGGGUUGUAAACCUCUUUCAGCAGGGACGAAGCGCGAGUGACGGUACCUGCAGAAGAAGCACCGGCUAACUACGUGCCAGCAGCCGCGGUAAUACGUAGGGUGCGAGCGUUGUCCGGAAUUAUUGGGCGUAAAGAGCUCGUAGGCGGUUUGUCGCGUCGACUGUGAAAACCUACAGCUUAACUGUGGGCUUGCAGUCGAUACGGGCAGACUUGAGUUCGGUAGGGGAGACUGGAAUUCCUGGUGUAGCGGUGAAAUGUGCGGAUAUCAGGAGGAACACCGGUGGCGAAGGCGGGUCUCUGGGCCGAUACUGACGCUGAGGAGCGAAAGCGUGGGGAGCGAACAGGAUUAGAUACCCUGGUAGUCCACGCCGUAAACGGUGGGAACUAGGUGUGGGGGGCUUCCACGUCCUCCGUGCCGUAGCUAACGCAUUAAGUUCCCCGCCUGGGGAGUACGG
This 642-nucleotide ribosomal RNA is filed under the name uncultured bacterium. RNAcentral's name for it is "bacterial SSU rRNA". It matches the Rfam family "Bacterial small subunit ribosomal RNA", at positions 232 to 885 of the family's 1533-position model. The record is from RNAcentral.